This 255-nucleotide unclassified non-coding RNA is filed under the name Basidiomycota sp. RNAcentral describes it as "partial contains small subunit ribosomal RNA, internal transcribed spacer 1, and 5.8S ribosomal RNA". The stretch from base 1 to 47 matches the Rfam family "Eukaryotic small subunit ribosomal RNA", at positions 1785 to 1831 of the family's 1831-position model. Lineage: Eukaryota; Fungi; Basidiomycota. The record is from RNAcentral.
AAAGUCGUAACAAGGUUUCCGUAGGUGAACCUGCGGAAGGAUCAUUAGUGAAUAUCAGGGCGCUCUUUUCUGCGGAAGCGAUCAGAGGCCUGACCUCCACUUAUCCUUAACACUGUGCACCUUUCAAAACAAGCGAGUCUGUGGUUCUCGAGGUUCACGCUUCGAGUCCCGCUCGCUUUCACCUUUAACACUAGUCAAAGAAUGUAAAUAAAACAUAACAAAGAAAAACUUUCAACAACGGAUCUCUUGGCUCUC